GCCAUGGAAACCUAUCCUCUGCGAUUACCAUUAGGAUUAGAUUUAGUUUUAAGAGACUGUUAUUAUGUGCCUGCAGUAAGCAAGAAUUUGAUUUCUGUUUUAUGUUUAGUACAAGAAGGCUAUGUGAUUAGCUUUCAUAAGAACCAUUGUAAUAUUUUUUAUGAAAAUAAUAAAGUUGCAAAUAGUUUUGUCAUUAACGGUCUCUAUCAGUUAC
Molecule: long non-coding RNA, 214 nt
Filed under: Elaeis guineensis (African oil palm)
Lineage: Eukaryota; Viridiplantae; Streptophyta; Magnoliopsida; Arecales; Arecaceae
Description: long non-coding RNA (EGUI_LNC081830)
Source: RNAcentral